Molecule: small RNA, 81 nt
Filed under: Salix viminalis (osier)
Lineage: Eukaryota; Viridiplantae; Streptophyta; Magnoliopsida; Malpighiales; Salicaceae
Source: RNAcentral
AAGGGCAUGUGGAAAAGCUACAAGAAAUGGACCCUAUAAAUUUUGAAACUGUAAGUUGAAUUGAAUUUGAUAUGCCUCUUU